Molecule: long non-coding RNA, 707 nt
Filed under: Citrus sinensis (sweet orange)
Lineage: Eukaryota; Viridiplantae; Streptophyta; Magnoliopsida; Sapindales; Rutaceae
Description: long non-coding RNA (CSIN_LNC003211)
Source: RNAcentral
CUCCCGUGGCCCUCUUGCCUUUAUAUAAUGUUACUGACUUGCUUAAUCCUUAUUGGAUUCUAAUUGCAUUAAUUCUUCUCCACCGACUUAUAAAGCCCACUCACCAAGGCCUUUUAAAAUUAUUUCCUUACUAAACUUUGAAAGCAAAGCACACGUUUGACCACAAAAGCAAAAGGCCAAUUAAUGAUUUCUUCUUUUAAUGCCCAGCACAUGCAUUCCAAAUUGCCAAAUCUUUGCUUUCCAAAUGCAUGCCCACCGUUCAUCCUUUGAAGAGAUUGACUUCCAAUUUUGGUCUUCUUGACUUCCAUUAAUUCUUGGUUGCAUUUUUGUCUUCCAAUUUAAUCUUUAUUCCUUCUCAAUUUGAAGUGUUUUCAUGCCCUUUUUAUCAACAAUCUCCAAUUAAUUCCCUAUUCAAUAAAACAAUUCAAUUAAUUAAAAAUAACAAAUAAAUAUAACUAGCAAUUAUAUUAUUAAGGGUAAAAUAUGUAUAUAAAUUAUGUUCAUCAAAUACCCCCAAACUUAGAUUUUGCUAGUCCUCGAGCAAAACUAAAAUUUAAACAAAAACAAAAGUAACGAAACAAAAAGUAAAUCCUAACUAAACCACUUUCGCAGGUAAUCGCGAUUGCAUUUAGCGUAUGCAACAAGCCUUUAAACCCCUAGGCGGCCCUAGUGGACGAGUUAUAGUCUCGUGAGGGCUUCAGUGAUGA